UGAGAGGACCAGUAUUCCAAAAAUGGUUGUUCUUUAUUUCUUUAUAAUCGUAGUUUCCCUAGUUUUUUACAUACAUGUUCAUCAUAUAGGAGUCUGAGUAAAGAAAUAAAGAACAACCAUUUUUGGAAUACUGGUCCUCUCA
Non-coding RNA from Paramuricea clavata, 142 nucleotides. NCBI's taxonomy places the organism in Eukaryota, Metazoa, Cnidaria, Anthozoa, Malacalcyonacea, Plexauridae. The record is from the annotation of a GenBank genome assembly.